Molecule: ribosomal RNA, 497 nt
Filed under: uncultured bacterium
Lineage: Bacteria
Description: partial 16S ribosomal RNA
Rfam family: Bacterial small subunit ribosomal RNA
Source: RNAcentral
GAUGAACGCUGGCGGCGUGCCUAAUACAUGCAAGUAGAACGCUGAAGGAAGGAGCUUGCUCUUUCCGGAUGAGUUGCGAACGGGUGAGUAACGCGUAGGUAACCUGCCUGGUAGCGGGGGAUAACUAUUGGAAACGAUAGCUAAUACCGCAUAACAGUAGAUGUUGCAUGAUAUCUACUUAAAAGGUGCAAUUGCACCACUACCAGAUGGACCUGCGUUGUAUUAGCUAGUUGGUGAGGUAACGGCUCACCAGGGCGACGAUACAUAGCCGACCUGAGAGGGUGAUCGGCCACACUGGGACUGAGACACGGCCCAGACUCCUACGGGAGGCAGCAGUAGGGAAUCUUCGGCAAUGGACGGAAGUCUGACCGAGCAACGCCGCGUGAGUGAAGAAGGUUUUCGGAUCGUAAAGCUCUGUUGUAAGAGAAGAACGAGUGUGAGAGUGGAAAGUUCACACUGUGACGGUAGCUUACCAGAAAGGGACGGCUAACUACGUG